This 503-nucleotide ribosomal RNA is filed under the name uncultured bacterium. Its description in RNAcentral is "partial 16S ribosomal RNA". It matches the Rfam family "Bacterial small subunit ribosomal RNA", at positions 30 to 523 of the family's 1533-position model. The record is from RNAcentral.
AUUGAACGCUGGCGGCAGGCUUAACACAUGCAAGUCGAGCGGGGUGAUGGUGCUUGCACUAUCACUUAGCGGCGGACGGGUGAGUAAUGCUUAGGAAUCUGCCUAUUAGUGGGGGACAACAGCGCGAAAGGGAUGCUAAUACCGCAUACGUCCUACGGGAGGAAGCAGGGGAUCACUUGUGACCUUGCGCUAAUAGAUGAGCCUAAGUCGGAUUAGCUAGUUGGUGGGGUAAAGGCCUACCAAGGCGACGAUGUGUAGCGGGUCUGAGAGGAUGAUCGGCCACACUGGGACUGAGACACGGCCCAGACUCCUACGGGAGGCAGCAGUGGGGAAUAUUGGACAAUGGGGGGAACCCUGAUCCAGCCAUGCCGCGUGUGUGAAGAAGGCCUUAUGGUUGUAAAGCACUUUAAGCGAGGAGGAGGCUCUUUUGGUUAAUACCCAAGAUGAGUGGACGUUACUCGCAGAAUAAGCACCGGCUAACUCUGUGCCAGCAGCCGCCGUAA